GUUGUGCAUGAAACCUAGAUGUAAACGCACUAUACAUAUCGUAUGUUUGUACACACAGUUCAUUCUCCUGUUUAGCUGAAGUCAUAUCAAAAUGGCAGCCAUGACAGAUUCGUCAGUCUCGAAGGAAUUAAAUGUUGUCAUAGAGUAUUGCUGUUCUACCGGAGAAGAGGGUGUGAGGAUUGCCUAUGUUCAAUUUCGUGGCAAAUCAUGUGUCAAAUUCUUCUGUGACAAAUGCUUUAAAAGCGAUCAUAUACUGUUCCCAUCUUAUGAGAGAAGCAGGAGUGGAAACGAAGUGAUAUUUAACGUAGGAGUGGUAAGAGCAAAGGAUCGUCUUAACAGAAGCAGAAGCCAUGGGCAAAAAAUCCUUUGAACGUCAUGUAAAAUGCAUGGGGAUUACGCUGCAUAAUGCAAAAGUACUAGAUGACAAUGGACCAUGGUCUAUCGUUGCGAUCUGUGGUCUUCCUGAUGGUCGUAUUCUUGUGGCAGACAAUGCAAACACUAGAGUGAAGUUGUUCGAUCAAGAUAGCAAACUGGUUAGCCACUGUAAUGUGUAUGAGUAUAUAUAUGACAUUUGCCAAAUAAAUUGCUGCGAUGUGGCGAUAACGCAAGAAGACUAUAAUACAAACAGACACGAGCUUCAGUUUAUAUCUCUACAGAAUAGUAAGCUGGUGAAAACAAGGACGCUAAGGCUGACUCACGUUUUUCACGGUGUUGCUCACAAUAGGGGCAAUCUGUAUGUGACAACACGCACUGCAUUGAUGAUUUACACACUGAGAGGGACAUUUCUGCGAAAACUGUAUGAGGACAAAGGAAAUUGUUUAAAAGUCUGGAAGUGUGCCGUGAGCCCUUCUGGAGACAGGACAUAUAUUGUAAACCCAGACCAUCACAGGCUGAUCACACUGAGCAGGGAUGGGACAGUUUUCUGCACCUUUACCGUCAAUGAACUAGAGAGUCCUAUUGCUGUACAUGCCACAACUUCUGGGCAGCUACUUGUUGUUGGUAUUAACUCUGUCCUUCAGGUCGACAGCGAAGGAAAAAGGACGCUUGUCAUACUGGCUACAGAACGUGUCGGCGCAAAACGUCCACAGUCCGUUUUUUACAACAGCGCAAAGAGCUCUAUCCUUAUAGGUCAAUAUAAUUACAGCAAAUUGCUAGAGCUAAAAGUUGACUUAAUGAAAGUACCUUGUUGAAUGCCUAAACAAAGAUAACAAUGACGAGUUAUCCUGCAACAUAUUGCUUACCUAUAUAAACAGCUAUGUUGCCAAAUGUCAUUCAAAACGUACUGAACAUAGGCGCGUAGUAUAAUGCUCAACUUAGAUUGUAUUCACCCUGAUAACUGUCGCGGUUUCAGACCGAAUCUACGUCAUGUUUUGACUCUUGCGUGUAAAAUAUUCCUGAAACAAGUAUAACCCGUUAACAAACUUGAAAUAGAUCUUAUCGAAAAAUCACUAGUACUCAAACUUUACUCUAUUAAUCGAGGAAACUGUGUCGUCCCGAAAAUUAUGAAGUGUUCUUCUUGUGCGAGCCAUAUAAAAAGAUACAUAGGUUCCAUUUGCAAAGUUUUUAUUCAAUGUUGAGCUUAUGUUAAAACAAUAUUAGUAUUUCAAAAAUUGAACUGAUUAAUUCUUUCUCGUCGCCAUGUUUUGUUGUAUGCAUGUAAUAAGUAACCUCAUUAUAUCAGUAAUAUGUCUGUUUAAUUAACACACGGUAACAGAACGUCAAACCAUUACAUGACUGAAUUGACUCAAGUUACGACUUACUCGCAGUUGAUACGGCACGGACCACCAAAUCUAGAAAUACAAAAGUUUUUCAACAGGUCCUUUAAAACUAGUUUUCAUUUAUUUUAACUAUUAAUAAUGAGCUUAUUGCAAGCUACGAAAUGUUUGAAUGUAUAACGGCUUCUUUUCGCGAAGCCUUUCGAUGAUAUGGAUGUAUAUAACAUGAUGCUGGGUUUUAAAAUCUUUUCAACAAGAAGAGCCGAUACUGUUAUUAUUUUCAUAUCAUUAUUCCUCACAGAGUUCCGGUUAGAUUGCUGAUAUGUAUAUUUAAGUAUUAAUAAAACGAGUAUUUGAAAUGUAAUUUAAAUGAACUUAUUUUUCUAAUGUAUUAUCCAAUCAGCUUGUAUUGAUAUGCUUAUAAAGUGAUGUUUAUGUAUACGUUUAUAUUUUAUGAUUAAUUUGGGACUAAUGGUCAUGUUCGUAUUGCUUUUAGACCAACUUCUUUAUGCGUGAAUUAUUUUAUGCCAAUUUUUAUCUGAAUAAAUCGUGUAUACGAAAUAUAGCAGAACUGAAACUCCAAGUAAGUCUCUCAGCCAUCAGCUAGUAUUAUAAUACGACAUGGGAAAUUAAAACAAGUAAUGAAAUAAAACGCUGGUUUAAUGAUUCAAGCUGGGAUAAAGGCAUUGGCACGGCUAAUACGAAACAUCGAGAGUUUAAACCGGUUUGAUGACUAGCCUUACAUCACGCUUAGCCCAAGAAUACAUGUGUGACUUUAUUACGCAUUUGUCUUGACAAACAUAUAAUGUGCAAUGUAUUCACGAUAUGUAUUGUACAUAUAGUGUCGUUUUGUCAUUUCACAUAUACUCGCACAUUUUCGCGUUGUAAUAAGCUGUAUUGUACAAACUGUAUACACCAUUACUGGAUUCCUUUACAGCUUUAUUAUUAAAAUAAGUUACUAAAUGUGUGCACUUGAUAUAUAUUUCGAAAGGAUUAUAUGACAUUCAAUUUUGGUGAUUUCGACAUUUAAUCACGUGUGUAAGCAAACUAAAUGUAAGCAAUGUAACGCCUUUGAAAAACGACCGGCAACAUAUUUUAAAUGUAAGUUGCUUAUCCGUUCAGGAAACAAAUAACUUCGCUUUACAUGUGUACACAAUUUGUGUCCGCGUCUUUUCUUUCCUUAUUGCAUUCAAUACAAAAGACAUUUCGAAAACAUAUUGACUAUCAACCUUGUUUACUUGUAAUAAUAGGCAACUUGCCCAUAUCUGUCAAUACAUCAGUCUGAAGUUAGAAUUUAGUGUUUUUAAAAUGAACAUUUACUCUGACAUAACUUACCAUAAACAUAACCAAAUAUAUGUGAUUAAUUAAAUCGGUUGUUAAUGUAAUCGACAUUUUCCUUGUAAAUGUGUACAUGUUUAAAACUUUUUUUGAGAUGUAUGGUUGAAACAUGUAUAUGCUUUACACAUGCCAAUUGAUAAAGUUUAUGUAUUUAGUCGAAAAACAUCACUGCUUGCUUUAGUCAUCAAGACAACACAAAUAAUUAAUAUGGUUCAAGUGUAUUUAUAUACAUAUGUAUGUAUUAACACAUAUGUUUAGUGUUGUUAUUUUACGUUAACUUUUGACUCAAUAUUUACCCAUGCAAAAAACUUAAAUUACAUUCUUAAAUGUAUUAGGAUGAGUAUAUAUGACUU
This is a long non-coding RNA of Dreissena polymorpha, 3406 nucleotides long. RefSeq lists it as uncharacterized. NCBI's taxonomy places the organism in Eukaryota, Metazoa, Mollusca, Bivalvia, Myida, Dreissenidae. The record is from RefSeq and is a predicted model, not a curated record. The transcript is spliced from 3 exons.